UUCUUUUUCUCUCCUCUGUCGAACCACCACCAUCAACCACCACCGUUUACCACCACGACCACCUGCUUCCUCCAUCAUUCCCAGCCACCCGCACCCGCACCAAACCAAUCACCGCCUCACCCUCCUCCCAGAACCAACCGAGAAACACCACCCUUGCUCCUCCCCUGUUUCGCAACCCCCUUCCCCUGCCUCCCUCUUUUCGUUCCCCUGCUGCAGCCACCACAAUCACACCACCACCACCACCACCGUCUCUCCGGCGCUUCCCUGUUGCGCCGCCUCCCAGUCCGCCCAGAACCUCCGCCCAAACCUCCGGUCACCAUCACCCCUCUCCUCCCCUGAUUUCUCCCCUGUUCGCGCCCCUCUCCCCCUUCCCUCGCCUGUUUCUGCCGCCUCAAACCACCAUCACUGUCGCCUCUCGGCGCGGUUUCACCGCCCAGGCUGAGCCCCCAGCCUCCCUCCUCUCUUCCUCCUCCCCGUGUUCCUCCUGGUCGUGCCCUGCUUCGUUCGUGCCCUGCUCCCCUUGCUGCUCAAUUUCAGAAACUUUGUUUCUGAAAUUGAAACCUCUUUUACUCCUCCAUAUUUAAGUUGGGCCAAUCAAUUGGUCUUUGGAAAUUGGACUCGGAGUUCAGGAAGAACGAUCCAUCGAACAUGAAGUAUAAACUACGGUUGAGGUACGAAGAAGAUCAUGGGAUGCCUUAGAGUGAGGAUGCAACCAUCAAAUUCACGAUCGAUGUUUAGUAAAGAUAACUAUGUCAUUAGUAAUAAAGGGAUGUAUUAAUUAAACUCUAAGUUUGAUUUCACGAUUUGAGUUAGAUCUUCAAAUUAAUGUUUAAACGUGUUAGAAAUAUUUAUUAAGGUUACUUAGAUUUCAAUGUAAUUUUUAAAGGAUUAAUCGAA
This is a long non-coding RNA of Spinacia oleracea (spinach), 897 nucleotides long. RefSeq lists it as uncharacterized. Lineage: Eukaryota; Viridiplantae; Streptophyta; Magnoliopsida; Caryophyllales; Amaranthaceae. The transcript is spliced from 3 exons. The record is from RefSeq and is a predicted model, not a curated record.